This is a non-coding RNA of Podarcis lilfordi (Lilford's wall lizard), 75 nucleotides long. Lineage: Eukaryota; Metazoa; Chordata; Lepidosauria; Squamata; Lacertidae. The record is from the annotation of a GenBank genome assembly.
GCUUCACAAAUGCUCAGCUGGUAAAGCAUGAGACUCCUAAUCUUGUGGUCAUGGGUUCGAGCCCCACGGUGGGCA